GCUGAGGUGAGGGUGGGUAAUGCCAGCCAUUGAAGGUAAGAGCUGAGGUGAGGGUGGGUGAUGCCAGCCAUUGAAGGUAAGAGCUGAGGUGAGGGUGGGUGAUGCCAGCCAUUGAAGGUAAGAGCUGAGGUGAGGGUGGGUGAUGCCAGCCAUUGAAGGUAAGAGCUGAGGUGAGGGCCGUGAGGUGUCAGCUGUCAGUGGAAUUUAACUAAUGCUAUACACAUCUGGUGUGCCUAGGGCAGUUCUGAUAGGUACCUACAGGGAUUGUACAUGUGCCUUGAAGACAGAAAGCAGUAUCAAAACAAAAACAAAAACAAGAAGUUAAUUUAAAUAGCUAAUCAUUAUGUUUGCUCUUAACAGAAGUUAACUUUUGAGUCAAUAAGAGUAGAUGUCUGUAAAACAUAAAAAUGUGUGAGCUAAUUUGUUUUAGAUGCCUUUUAUCUGUGUGCAUUUUGAAGUUAUUUCCAUUGGGGAGUUUUAGUAAAGACUUAUUCUUUUGACUAUUUGUCAUUAGGACACUCUUGUUCUAGUCUCUCUGCUCUCUGCUCUGCUCUGCUCUGCUUUUAGCAGGGUCUCACUCUUCACCCCAACUUGUCCUAUAGCCUGGCCUAGAAUUCAGUAUGUAGCCCAGGCUGGUGCCCAGCUGGUGGAAGUCCUCCUGCCUCAGCUUUCCAAGUGUUGGGAUUACAGGUGGAAGCCACCACAUCCAGCCUCUGUUGUUCUUCUUAACAUUUCACUCUUGUUAAGUAAAUAUUUGUGCAGUGAUUGAUGUAAGAGAAAAUUAAAUACUUGCACGUUUUGUAAGCCGUCGAGAUGAAUGGUAUAGAAAUCCUAUGCACAGUUUGUAGUGGGAGCAAGCAUCAGCUAGCUCACGUUUAGCAUUUACUAUAUUUUUUUUAAGUUCUGAAGUGUUUUAUAAUGCUCUUCUUAUAUCUCUCAGUUAAAAACGCCUUAUAGUUCAAAGAUUUUUGCUUAAAAGCUAAUCCUUUGGGCUCUGUAAAAUAGAUCUUUUGUCUAAUCAAUGCAAAUUGAUUUUCCUCUUCUGUAUUGACCUCUUAACCCAUUGACUGUCCAUGGUAAUUCCGUUUCACCUGAUAAGGUACCUGAUCCAUAAGUCAAUUCUAAUUAGUUCAGAAACUAGAAAUUUAAGUUUGUAAGUGAAAGCCAAGACUUAUAUUCUUAAAAUAUUUAAAAAUAUAUUACUCUAAAAUAAGGCCUAUUUAUCAGUGACCUUGUAUGUUUUAGAAGCUUUACUUUAAUUACUUUUAUAUCUCUAAUCUCAUUUGAUACUAUCACUGAUAACAUUUGUAUAUCUUCAUUUAAAACUCAAUUUACUUUGCUUUUCAAAGCUUUACUUGGCUCAUUUCUUUCAAAUGGCGAGAUGUAUCAAAUGCCAUUGAUAACUAUUAAUUUUUUUUAAAUUAUUUUAGAAUUUUUGUGAAAUCUGUCACUGCAGUAAAAUGCCCAAGUACAGCAAAUGGUGUUUUUCCUUUAGAUAUAAUUUUUCUAGUUAUAGUAUGGUUUUAAGAGAGAUCAGAAAGCUAAAUAGCUGAAAAGUAGAUGCAGCAGUUACUAUAUAAGUAGGGUAUAUGUAUAAUGUAUCUGUAUGUAAUAUAUAACUCAUUAUACAGUAUAUUCUUUAUAGAUUCAUUAUACAUUACACCCAAUGUAAAGUAGUCUUAAUUUGUUUUUAUACCCAUCCUCUUCUGUAUAGAAGAUAAAUUGUCCCUAAAAUACAGCUUUACAUGGUAUAAUUGGCGUUUAGGGCAGAGAUGAAAUACUGUUUUUAUUCCCCAAACCAGUAUUAUUACUAAAUAUGCAUCUUAUAACACCCUUACACAUGGAAAUAUCCCAGUUUCAUUGGCCAUCUGUAUGCACAGGCUUAGAAUCUAUCAUUUUUUCUGCCUGAGUUCUUACACAUACAGAGGAGCAAUAAAAGCCAUAUUUUAGAAAACUUUAAAUGCAACUAUUAGUCUUUUGGCUCUCCCCCCCACUCCCCCCCCCUUCCCUUCCUUCCUCCCUACCACAGGACCAUUUUCAAUUGCACUGUCCUGUAGGUGACUGUACCUCAGAUCUCUGUGUCAGCCUCUGUUAAGAGGAAGGGAAGAGUUUGAGAAAAAGAACUGCCUAUUGAUCACAAGGAGAGACACUUAGAGAUGCCUGUCUCAGUGGCCUGAGCAGGACAUAGGCAGGGCCACCCUCAGCAUGGACACACGGAUGCUUCAGACCCCAGAGCAAAACAUGGAGCAAACACCAACAGUCCUGUGGUGUUUUCCUUCAUCUAAAAACUCACUCCUCUUCUUCCAGCAUCUUCUCCUUAGCCAUAGUUCUGAACUAAAACCUUUCCAAGUGACUCCUGUGUUCAGAGCAUGCACCAGCAGAGAGCAGAGAACACUAACAGCCGUAGCACACCGAAAGAAACAUUCCCAGUGUGGUUUGAGAGCAGAAUAUUAUAAUAGUAAUAAUAAUAUUCAAUUCAUCCAUUCUUCUGAGAACCCAUAAUCACUCUAACCCUGUUCUCCCUCUUCCCUGAGGGGUCAUGGCCGGGAGUUGCUUCUCUACUGAGCUCAAUUGUAAGGUUCCCUCAAGCUAACAAGCAUCUUUCAUAUACUUUUUUUCUAUAGUUUUUGUAGUUGUUGUUCCAGAUUAUUUAAUGCUCCCUCGGGAAAGACAAAUUCAUUUCUGCACACAUUAGGGUGGGCUCUUUAGAGAGGGGCAUGUUCAUUUUCUGCACAAGAAAUGGAUCUACUCUAGGAUUCGUACAUCUUGAUUUGUUCUUGGCUUAAGAGUUUGAAGUGGGUGCUCUUCUAAAGGAUUUAUGCAUAGGCUCACUAUUUUUGUAGUUAUGGUUUAUAUGAUAAGCUUUUUAUAUUUAAAAUCAAUAUGUAAUCCUGUGGAGGAGCUUAUCCCCUAAAACCCCAUUUGUAAAUCUAUUUUAGCUUUGUUACACAGCACAGCCACAGUCUUCCAUGGAUUGAUUAGGCUCCACAGUAGAAUCCUAUCAAUGGCCUGUUCUGAUGAUGAGGCAAACUCCUUCAGGAUUGCUAGUUGACUGGAACUAAAGAUAAGAUUUGACUGCAAUCCCCAAUGUGCUCUUU
This is a long non-coding RNA of Peromyscus leucopus (white-footed mouse), 3098 nucleotides long. RefSeq lists it as uncharacterized. Lineage: Eukaryota; Metazoa; Chordata; Mammalia; Rodentia; Cricetidae. The record is from RefSeq and is a predicted model, not a curated record. The transcript has 2 exons.